RNAcentral lists this ribosomal RNA (355 nucleotides) under uncultured bacterium. RNAcentral describes it as "partial 16S ribosomal RNA". It matches the Rfam family "Bacterial small subunit ribosomal RNA", at positions 338 to 710 of the family's 1533-position model. The record is from RNAcentral.
CCUACGGGAGGCAGCAGUGGGGAAUAUUGGACAAUGGGGGGAACCCUGAUCCAGCGACGCCGCGUGAGUGAAGAAGUAUUUCGGUAUGUAAAGCUCUAUCAGCAGGGAAGAAAAUGACGGUACCUGACAAAGAAGCACCGGCUAACUACGUGCCACAAGCCGAGGUAAUACGUAGGGGGCAGGCGUUAUCCGGAUUGACUGGGUGUAAAGGGAGCGUAGACGGUGAAGCAAGUCUGUUGUGAAAGGUCGGGGCCCAACCCCGGGACUGCGUUGGAAACUGUUGAACUGGAGUACAGGAGAGGUAGGCGGAAUUCCGGGUGUAGCGGUGAAAUGCGUAGAUAUUAGGAGGAACACC